AGUGCGGAAGCUUGGGAUCUUCUGAGCGGGGAGAAAAUGGACGGUGGGGAACAGUAGACAAAGUUAGCUGUUCUACUCAAAGAAGUACCUUUAAAAAGUCAGAGUAAUGAGGUACCAGAAGGAAAUGGAUUAAAAAGUUAAGAUUAUCACUCCAGCCUUUGUCGCUAGAGUCACUUUCAGGACAGGACACAAGACUGGGUUUUCCUGGAAGCUGUCCUUACAGAGCCCCGUCUUUCCCCAUUGCUGAUCAAAUUGUUAAAUUAUCUUUUCAUUAGUGUCUCCACUACUAGAAGAUUUCAUCGUUUUACU
This 309-nucleotide long non-coding RNA is filed under the name Homo sapiens (human). Its description in RNAcentral is "non-protein coding lnc-APEX1-6:1". Lineage: Eukaryota; Metazoa; Chordata; Mammalia; Primates; Hominidae. The record is from RNAcentral.